RNAcentral lists this ribosomal RNA (466 nucleotides) under uncultured bacterium. Its description in RNAcentral is "partial 16S ribosomal RNA". It matches the Rfam family "Bacterial small subunit ribosomal RNA", at positions 30 to 507 of the family's 1533-position model. The record is from RNAcentral.
CGAACGCUGGCGGCGUGCUUAACACAUGCACGUCGAACGGAAAGGCCCUGCUUUUGUGGGGUGCUCGAGUGGCGAACGGGUGAGUAACACGUGAGUAACCUGCCCUUGACUUUGGGAUAACUUCAGGAAACAGGGGCUAAUACCGGAUAGGAGCUCCUGCUGCAUGGUGGGGGUUGGAAAGUUUCGGCGGUUGGGGAUGGACUCGCGGCUUAUCAGCUUGUUGGUGGGGUAGUGGCUUACCAAGGCUUUGACGGGUAGCCGGCCUGAGAGGGUGACCGGCCACAUUGGGACUGAGAUACGGCCCAGACUCCUACGGGAGGCAGCAGUGGGGAAUAUUGCACAAUGGGCGGAAGCCUGAUACAGCAACGCCGCGUGCGGGAUGACGGCCUUCGGGUUGUAAACCGCUUUCGCCUGUGACGAAGCGUGAGUGACGGUAAUGGGUAAAGAAGCACCGGCUAACUACGUG